AGUCGAGGGGCAGCAUAAGAAGUUAGCAAUAACUUUUGAUGGCGACCGGCGCACGGGUGAGUAACGCGUAUGCAACCUACCCUUAACAGGGGGAUAAUCCGAAGAAAUUUGGUCUAAUACCCCAUAACAUUACCGGAGGCAUCUCUGGUGGUUAAAAAUUCCGAUGGUUAAGGAUGGGCAUGCGUUGUAUUAGUUUGUUGGUGAGGUAACGGCUCACCAAGGCUAUGAUACAUAGGGGGACUGAGAGGUUUUCCCCCCACACUGGUACUGAGACACGGACCAGACUCCUACGGGAGGCAGCAGUGAGGAAUAUUGGUCAGUGGACGGAAGUCUGAACCAGCCAUGCCGCGUGCAGGAUGACGGCUCUAUGAGUUGUAAACUGCUUUUAUACGAGGGUAACCACAGGUACGUGUACCUGUCUGAAAGUAUCGUAUGAAUAAGGGUCGGCUAACUCCGUGCCAGCAGCCGCGGUAAUACGGAGGACCCGAGCGUUAUCCGGAUUUAUUGGGUUUAAAGGGUGCGUAGGCUGUUUAUUAAGUUAGAGGUGAAAGCUCGAUGCUCAACAUCGAAAUUGCCUCUGAUACUGGUAGACUAGAGUAUAGUUGCGGAUGGCGGAAUGUGUGGUGUAGCGGUGAAAUGCUUAGAUAUCACACAGAACACCGAUUGCGAAG
Molecule: ribosomal RNA, 671 nt
Filed under: uncultured bacterium
Lineage: Bacteria
Description: bacterial SSU rRNA
Rfam family: Bacterial small subunit ribosomal RNA
Source: RNAcentral